Molecule: non-coding RNA, 706 nt
Organism: Arachis ipaensis
Lineage: Eukaryota; Viridiplantae; Streptophyta; Magnoliopsida; Fabales; Fabaceae
Source: RefSeq, a predicted model, not a curated record
CCGUCUCUGAGAUAUUGCACCAUUGUAGGAGCUAUCUGGAGUUGUCGUUCUGUUGCGUUCUUGCUCAACGUUCUUGGUUCACUGCUAUUAUGAAUUUUUUAAUUGUUCUUCAUUUUAAUUUGUUCUUGAUUUUGAUUUUAGAGUAUUUGCAUUCUGAAGUUUCGUUGUAGCAGCCAUCACCGAGCAGCCUCUCCUCACCGAGCAAUAGCAUCCUGAUCCCUCUUCUGCUACUGAAAAAUGCUGUAUCUACUUCACAUUGCUUACAGCCCAACAACAUUGAAUAUGAUAUGGCUAUGGAAUGGUGCUUACUCCAAGAAAGAGCAGACAAAGCAUGGUCAAUAUUAUAUCAGGUUUUGGUUUUCUUCCUUGUUAGAAGAAAUUGGGGAGAGAUCAAAACAUGGGUUCUUUCCACACCAGUUCAUUUCAUUAGAGGCGCGUUUUACAGAGAAAGAGUGAUACUGUUAUUGGAGGGAUCGUGAAUGAGAAUGGGGUGCUGCAUAUUGAGGCCACCAGGGUUGGCUCAGAGAGUGCUCUUUCUCAUAUUAGAAUACAGUUAUUGGUGCAUCUAAAUGUAAUAUUUUGAUGUCUUCUAUAUUUUUUAAGAGACUUUACUCGGCCAGUAUUACAUGUAAUGGAUAUAAUAUAAUAUAUUUUGAUUUGUGUUGUUUGGACAAAAAACAUAUCUAGCUUAUAAUGUAAAUUUUAU